ACCACCAACCCAGCCACUCCUUUUUCUUGCGUUAGUCACCAUAUCCUCUUGAAUCAGCCAUGUCCUUGAUGCUGUCCUACACCAUUCUUGCAGAGGUGUCCUAUGAUGAAAUCUGGACUUCAAACUGCUGAGGUAAUGUUAAUGGCCACAAUAAAAAAAAAAAAGAGACCUUUUCUAUUAAAGAAUUUAAGGAGAUUGCAUUAUGCAGAAAGGAAAAUUAAGACUAUGAAGAGAGAAUAUGUGAAAGCGACGAAUAGUGUCCUAGUGUUGAACAUGAGAUUCGCCUUUUUGGCUGCUUUCAGUAGGAUGUUGAUGAAGCUUUUGUUAGUGAGGAUGGGUUUCCCGAGGAAAUAUAUGCAUACCAUUUGAGCAUAUAAAGAAAGAUGAUAUUUUCAAGGUUACUCCACAUAAGACAUCUCACGUUCAUUAACUUUAGCAGCAUCCACAAGAUCCGUUGUUCGAAUCGACAAUACAGAAGAAUCUAAGGAAGUACGAAAGGGUGAAUGGAAAGUACGCAUGCAUGCAUAUAAGACUCCAUAUUCAACCCGAUUGUUGGUUCCGAAUGUGUGAUGUCAUAUUAAGUUGUGAAGCAACUUAAGCUAAUGUAACACAAAUACAAUUAAUUCAAUCAUCAAAAUAAUUUUAAUAUACAAA
This is a long non-coding RNA of Gossypium arboreum, 654 nucleotides long. RefSeq lists it as uncharacterized. Lineage: Eukaryota; Viridiplantae; Streptophyta; Magnoliopsida; Malvales; Malvaceae. The transcript is spliced from 2 exons. The record is from RefSeq and is a predicted model, not a curated record.